UGGGGAAUAUUGGACAAUGGGCGCAAGCCUGAUCCAGCAAUGCCGCGUGGGUGAAGAAGGUCUUCGGAUCGUAAAGCCCUUUCGACAGGGACGAUGAUGACGGUACCUGUAGAAGAAGCCCCGGCUAACUUCGUGCCAGCAGCCGCGGUAAUACGAAGGGGGCUAGCGUUGCUCGGAAUUACUGGGCGUAAAGGGCGCGUAGGCGGCUCGGUCAGUCAGGCGUGAAAUUCCUGGGCUUAACCUGGGGACUGCGCUUGAUACUGUCGGGCUUGAGGCCGAGAGAGGGUGGUGGAAUUCCCAGUGUAGAGGUGAAAUUCGUAGAUAUUGGGAAGAACACCGGUGGCGAAGGCGACCACCUGGCUCGGUACUGACGCUGAGGCGCGACAGCGUGGGGAGCAAACAGGAUUAGAUACCCCGGUAGUCCACGCCGUAAACGAUGUGUGCUGGAUGUUGGGGUCCCUAGGAUCUCAGUGUCGUAGCCAACGCGGUAAGCACACCGCCUGGGGAGUACGGCCGCAAGGUUG
This 524-nucleotide ribosomal RNA is filed under the name uncultured bacterium. Its description in RNAcentral is "bacterial SSU rRNA". It matches the Rfam family "Bacterial small subunit ribosomal RNA", at positions 355 to 896 of the family's 1533-position model. The record is from RNAcentral.